Molecule: ribosomal RNA, 497 nt
Filed under: uncultured bacterium
Lineage: Bacteria
Description: partial 16S ribosomal RNA
Rfam family: Bacterial small subunit ribosomal RNA
Source: RNAcentral
AUUGAACGCUGGCGGCAUGCCUUACACAUGCAAGUCGAACGGUAACAGGUCUUCGGAUGCUGACGAGUGGCGAACGGGUGAGUAAUACAUCGGAACGUGCCCGAUCGUGGGGGAUAACUACUCGAAAGAGUAGCUAAUACCGCAUACGAUCUACGGAUGAAAGCGGGGGAUCUUCGGACCUCGUGCGGACGGAGCGGCCGAUGGCAGAUUCGGAAGUUGGUGGGAUAAAAGCUACCAAGCCGACGAGCUGUAGCUGGUCUGAGAGGACGACCAGCCACACUGGGACUGAGACACGGCCCAGACUCCUACGGGAGGCAGCAGUGGGGAAUUUUGGACAAUGGGCGAAAGCCUGAUCCAGCAAUGCCGCGUGCAGGAUGAAGGCCUUCGGGUUGUAAACUGCUUUUGUACGGAACGAAAAGACUCCUUCUAAUACAGGGGGUCCAUGACGGUACCGUAAGAAUAAGCACCGGCUAACUACGUGCCAGCAGCCGCCGUAA